UGAAUAUUUCUAUUUAUAUACCCUUUAAUUUUAACUCUCUCCUUUACCUCUUCCCAUCCCAAAUGAAUAUUUCUAUUUAUAUACCCUUUAAUUUUAACUCUCUCCUUUACCUCUUCCCAUCCCAAACGAAUAUUUCUAUUUAUACACCAUUUAAUUUUAACUCUUCUUUACCUCUUCCCAAACAUAAAAAAUAUACAACACUUCUCUAUACCUUUCCACUAAUUCACCCUUUCCUAAAC
RNAcentral lists this unclassified non-coding RNA (239 nucleotides) under Hevea brasiliensis (rubber tree). The record is from RNAcentral. Lineage: Eukaryota; Viridiplantae; Streptophyta; Magnoliopsida; Malpighiales; Euphorbiaceae.